CACCUUUAAAAAUAACAAGUGAUCCUUUUAUCACUUUCAAGAAGCCAUCUCCUAUUUUUCCUUGCAAUCCCAUAUCAUCUAGAUUUCCCAUGGAAAUCAGAUUCCUAUUCAAUUCAGGAACAUAUCUCACCCUUUCAAGAGUGUAAAUGUAUCUAUUAUCAAAUUUCAAAGUGACAUUCCCAACUCCCUCAACUCUGCAGGCUACAUUAUUGCCCAUAACUACUUCUCCUCCAUCAAUUUUCUUAAAAUUGUCUAAAUAUGCCCUUUUAAAGGUCAUAUGGAAGGUACAACCAGAAUCCAAGAUCCAUUCUUGGUUCUGAUUCUCAUCAACAACAUUUGCAGAACUAGGUAAAUUUUCAGUCACAGCAUAUACAUCAACUGUGGCAGAACCUUCAGAUUCUACCACAUUACCUUCAUCAACACCCUUUUGUUUCUGUUCAUUUUUCUUCUUAUAACAGUUUUUAAUAAAAUGUCCAGAUUUUCCACACCCAUAACACUUUUUAGUCCUAGUCCUUGACUUAGACCUGCCUCUACUUUUAAACUUUCUCCUACUGUUAUUUCCCUGAUUAUUAUGGCUUUCCUGAGUACCACUAGACCUACUUAAAGUCCUCCCUCUAGCAAACAAGUUUUCAUGGCCACUAUUACCUCUCUCAGACUUAAGUUCAAGUUCCUUACUCCUUAAAGAGU
RNAcentral lists this long non-coding RNA (687 nucleotides) under Olea europaea subsp. europaea. Lineage: Eukaryota; Viridiplantae; Streptophyta; Magnoliopsida; Lamiales; Oleaceae. The record is from RNAcentral.